UCAAUUUAGUCCUCGAUUAUAGUGAUUUUUCUCGAUUUAGUUUUAAAUGUCUUUUUGUGCUUAAUUGAGUACUCGACUUCGAUGGUUUUACCUAAUUGAGUUCCCUGUAACUAUAACUUGAUAAUUUCCCCUCGAUUAAUGCACAAUUUAGUUUUCGACUAUUGUAAAUGAUGUGUUUGUGACAAUAAAUUAUUAGUGUGUCGAAAAUGAAUAUUUUCAACUAUUAGAAAG
Long non-coding RNA from Ipomoea nil (Japanese morning glory), 231 nucleotides. RefSeq lists it as uncharacterized. The transcript is spliced from 3 exons. NCBI's taxonomy places the organism in Eukaryota, Viridiplantae, Streptophyta, Magnoliopsida, Solanales, Convolvulaceae. The record is from RefSeq and is a predicted model, not a curated record.